GGGCACAUAGCUCAGUUGGUAGAGCAGCUGACUCUUAAUCAGCGGGUCGUAGGUUCGAUCCCUACUGUGCCCACCA
Molecule: transfer RNA, 76 nt
Filed under: Escherichia coli
Lineage: Bacteria; Pseudomonadati; Pseudomonadota; Gammaproteobacteria; Enterobacterales; Enterobacteriaceae
Also listed under: 38 other names
Description: tRNA-Lys
Rfam family: tRNA
About the family: Transfer RNA (tRNA) molecules are approximately 80 nucleotides in length. Their secondary structure includes four short double-helical elements and three loops (D, anti-codon, and T loops).
Source: RNAcentral